CCCGGGUCUUGUACACACCGCCCGUCACACCACGGGAGUGGGUUCUGCCAGAAGUAGUUAGCCUAACCGCAAGGAGGGCGAUUACCACGGCAGGGUUCGUGACUGGGGUG
This 110-nucleotide ribosomal RNA is filed under the name uncultured bacterium. RNAcentral describes it as "partial 16S ribosomal RNA". It matches the Rfam family "Bacterial small subunit ribosomal RNA", at positions 1373 to 1482 of the family's 1533-position model. The record is from RNAcentral.